GAAGGCGCAGGCGCAGGCGCAGCCAGGGGGCCGGAAGCAGGUGCCACACCGUGGGCAUGCGCCUCACGCCCCCACCCCGAAUGCCUCUCUUCGAUUGGUUGAGUUCUUGGCUCUGACCUGGACGGUGGCCAGAGCAGGACAAGUGGCUUCCAUACUUAACGGGAGCGCUGAUGCGGGAGGCCUGGAGAUUGUACAACCUCUAGUCCACCGGCGGCCAGACUUGGGGACGUGACGCUGCUGGUGGCGGCGGAGAGGAACCAGUAGCAGCGUCUCCAAGCCUGCUGAUGGCGCUGAGAUCCUGCUGCUUUCUGCCUCAGUGCUAAUUAAUAUCCUGGACGUUAUCAAGAAGAUAUGAGAGAUGACAUCAAAUUCUGGUGAAGAAGGAAGAGCUAGCACAUGGAGGGAUCAGUGUUUCACAGUAGUUUUGAAAGAGGGUGGUGACAGAAGGGAAAAGAGGUUAUCUGGAGGGGAUUCAGAAUUGGCAGUGAGGGUCAAUUUAGGAGACAUAGAUUGUGACCAUAAAUAUUAAAGAGGAGGAUUCUUUUUGACACUGAGAUUUUUCUGCAGUGCUACAGUGGAGGAAACAUCCAUAGACAUCGUGGACAUUAUUUAGCUCCUGGGAUGAGAAGAGAGCCUGCUGUUGCUGAACAGGCGAUGAGAAUGCAUUGUGCUUUUUUCUUUGGGAAUAUUUGAAUAUCUCCUCGAUGCUGAAACCAGAUCAAAAAUACAGAUUGUGAUAGCAAAGCGGUCUGAGUCAUGAGCUCAUGUGAGGACAGUCAUUGGCCCUUUCCUCUGUCAAAUUAGACUGUUGUGGUUAGGUAUAAAAGGUGGGGUUUGCAACAGUUUUUCCUAAAACUUUAUUUCGUAGUUCUGUAAAAAUGGUUAUAUUGGAUGCUUUCUAAGAAUAAUAUGCUUGUGAACUGAAAGAUACAUGCUGUAAAAAGUCAGGCAGUUCUAUGACAGUAGCAUAUAUAUAAGAUAUGGGGAUUUCCAAGAAGUAAAAUUUAGUUUUUUGGGUUUUUUUAAAUCAGUACUGGGGAUUGAAUUCAGGGCCUUUGCACUGAUCUGUAUCCCCAUACCUUUCUCUUUUUAACUUUUUACUUUGAGACAGGGUCUUAUCAAGUCCCCGAAUUGCCUACGCUGUACUAAAACUUGCAAUCCUCCUGCCUCAGCCUCCCAGAAUACUGGGAUUACAGGUGUGCACCACCAGAUGGCCAAAUUUGACCAUAGAAUGGCAGUAAUCACUGAGCUCCCCUUAAAUAUAAACUACAAAGAUUCCAUUUAUAUUAAUUGGGCCUUAAAGUAAUGACUUCGUACAAAUAAAAACAACUAGUUAACAUCAUAGGCCUGAAUUUGAGGAAAGAAGGAAGAUAGGUUUGAAGAUGACAAAAUUUUUCCAACUUGGGGCCCAGAGGGAAAUUGUUCAAAGCAAAACAGCACUACUGUGUGGGGAACAGGGAAAGGGGACAUUACCUCUGAAGUGAGUCCUAGUCUUCUGCGAGCCACAGGAGCACAAGGUGAAUUAACUUAUUAUUACAGGAAAGGUAGACAAAAUGAGACUGAGAAGAAGCUGAGCUUUGGGCCUGAUCAGUGCUGCUCUGGGCAGCAAAGACAAAAGCCCCUGAGCUUGCAGCACCUUUUAUUCAGUCCAUCGGGAGAAACAGAUGUAACAGAUGACUGGAGAGCGGGUGGAAUUCCUAGAUCAAGGAGGAGCUAUGCAGAUGAAGAUUUUGUUCCUCCCAGGGUGUCUUCUGCUGCUGUAAUCUGGUCCUGGAGCAUCACAGCAUCACCAGAUCAUUGAGGUCUCAGUUGUGACCAAAGGCCAAAAUGGAAUUAUGUCUCAAAAUGCCAUAGCUGGCCUGUGGGCAUGAGAACUAGGCCUAAUCAAAUGAUUUUUCUCCAAUAUUAUGUAGUAUUGCUCCCGACACUACUGAAACAUUUUCACCAAACAAUAUUCACCCUUACUAUAUUACCUGCAUACUUUAGGCCCCUCCCUCCCCAGUUCUGGUGGGGACUGAUUCCAUGAACCAUAAAAUAAGUGCAGUGAUCUGCACUUUGAAGAAACCAUCAGUAGGGGGAUCCACAGUUCUAUACCACCCCAAAGUGAUGGUGACUUGCUAAUUGGCAAAGCAAAAAUACACUCACAAUUCCGUGUGAGUAGGCAAUAUAAUCAAAAAGCUGUACUUGGCCUAGAAUUGGGAGAUACUACAAGACUGUAGGAAAGUCACUUCAUUGUUCCAGCGUGAUUCCAGUUUCCUCCUUGUUGAAGUACUGUAAUGAAACCUUUUCCGAAUGUUUAUCUUUGUAAAAAUACACUCAAGUUAUAGGUUUCUUAUUCCAGCCUGAAUAAUCUUAUACAUAUUAUGAAAUAAUAUCAGGAUUUUAACUUAAAAUCAAUCUGGUAUUCAAAAUAUACCCUGAACCCUGUCAGUAAUUAUUAACAAUGAAACUGACAGGUUUAAAAGUUAGGAAACCUCUCGGUUCCUCUAGGAAGCCACAGUAAAAACCCAUCACACUUCCCACCUUUAACUUUUGCUCUCUCAGAUUCCAUAUUUGAACAAUUCUUAGCUCUUGUCCAGCAAUGCUAAGGGAAAGAAAGAUUAAAUUAUCUGCGAAUUAUAUCACAUCGAUGUCUACAUUUUAAGCAUUUUUCCUACCUUGUUGUGGUGAUCUAUACCCCAUUAAACAGAAUUCCCCUGUCCAAGAGACAAAUUGGUAUCACAAAUCACCCAGAAUUAAAGAAAUCACAAAUCACCCAGAAUUUACAGGAAAACCUAUGAUUUCAACGUCAUGCGUUUUUCUCAGUGAAUCCAUUUUAGUGGCUGGUGGUGAGAAAGUUAAAUAGUAAUAGUUUAGUAGUAAUUACUUGCCCUAUCUGUCUAAAAAGGAGGAGGACAACCUGAAGAUUGAAUGUAUAACUCACAAUUUAAGUGUGGAAAAUUGCACAAUCUUUCAGUUUGUAUACCAUUGAUAAAUUCAAAUUUGAAGCCCACCGAUAUAGUUGACUCCUCUAGAAAAGAUGGAACUCUCCAUAGCUAUCUUCCAGUGUUUGGUGGCUGUGACUGGCUAUGACUAGCCAUGGGUAAAGGUCAGGGAGUUUAGAGCUAUUCUCAAAUAGUACAAUCAUAGGGAAUUAAUUCUUGCUUCAAUGUUAGUCCAAAGACUUUUCGUUGUGUUACCAUCUCUCUGUUGGUAACUUUAAGGCCUACUGUGCCAGUUUGGCCAUAAGAUCCCCAUUUACACAUACCAGGUUAUAUCUUUGCUCACAAUUUAAACACUAGUGAAGAUCUCUUGUCCUAGCUACUCUUCUCACUGCUGAGACAAAAUAUCCGACACCUAAAGUUAAAGGAGGAAAGUUUUAUUAGCUCACAGUUCAUAGUUGGCUUGCUCCAAGGCAGGGUGACAUGGUACAGGGCCAUCACAGAGGAGAAACACUUCAUGGCAGGCAGAAGGCAGCAAGGCAGCAAAAGCAAACAAGGCUCUUUCUGUCCCAUAUUAUCUUAUCCACUUGCAAGGCAGGCACCAGAACCACUGAGCUAAAUCCCCAGCCCAAUUUUUCCUACUCUUAACCUCUGUUGUUCCUAGAAUUCAUUCUUCGAUUUUAGAGAACACAAACUCACAUUUUGGAUAUCUAGCAGGUUGAGAGUUAUAAUAUUUUACAUGUUUAGAUUAUUUUUGCCUGUUUGGAUUGCUUGCUACCUUGUAUCAAUUUUGGAUUACUUGGUGCCCUAUAUCAGACCUCUGACCACACAAGGCUUUGGGGGGACAUUAGACACAAGCCAUAGCAUCUCUGUUCACUGGUUUGAAGGCAGGAAAAUGCUACACAAAAAAGCGGGAAUGACAAGCCUUGAAAUGGUGGCACAAGGAUUAUAGAGUGUCAUUGUGUUUUAAAGGAGUUGUGUUGAAAGACCUUUAACAUUUCCAGUAACUAGUUUGAGCAUGCAGAAUUUGAAACAUAAAAAGGCUGAACUUCACAGGCCUCAAAGAGGAAAACACACACUUUUUACAGUUGGUUCUGAGUCUGCCUCUGGACACACGAUUGUCUUGCUCACGGCACCACUUGCUUUUCUGAGUACCGCUCUCGUCAGUGUUGAUCUUGGCAGCUUGGGACACCAAGGUCUCCUCUAGCAGGUGACUAACCUCCCUGUGUUCCUCAAACACCGGGGCUGUCACAAGUGCUUUGCGUACAUAGUCUCAGCCUCAAGACAACCCAUGAGGGAGAAAUGAGCUCAGAAGAAACUGGGCUCCAAGAUGCUUUGAUUAACCAUGUAACCUUCAUGAAUAACAGUCCCAUGGCAGUCCAGAGCAGCCGAUCAGUUCUGGUCCCUCCUGGCUGCUCUCUGCCCUUCCUCCCUGCACAGCUCUUCCGGAAGUUCCUGUCAGGAUGGUUCAGGAAGUUCACUGACUAGAAGUUCCUGUCAGUGACCACGAAGGCAGAAUUUGUACCACUGUUAGAGUUGGGAGUCCUUUAUAUUGUGGUACCACUGCACUUUGUUAGUUCUUUUUCUACUCUCUGUAAUGUACCCAUUUCCUAGCCCUCUACUUCAACAGUUUCUAAAUAGCUUCAUUAGGUAAGGGGGCACUGCCCUCCUUUGGGUACCUACUGAAUUUGCCCAAGAAAGUUGGAGGACUGAGGGAAGGGGACCUGAAUUGGCACCCACCAUAGGGCCGGAGAUUUAGCUCAGUGGUUUUGCUGCCUGCUGCGCAAGCGCAAGGACCCAAGUUCAAUCCCCGGUACCAAAAAAAAAAAAAAAAAAAAAAAAAGAAUUGGUACCCACCGCCAUCAGGCAUGAUGAGAGGGAGAGAACAGUAAGAGGGGCAAAGACAAGAAUACAUAAAGUUUAUCUAAAUAAACUUCUUUGCUAACAUACAGGACAGUCAAAAGUAUUCCAUGUGUGCACACAUACUCUCCACCUCCCUCUCCCUGGAAAAGCUGCCCUUCACUUAUCAGAAAGCAAAGUAUCAAUUGCUUUUAAACCCAUGACUGCUUUCUUUGAGUACUGCAUGACAUUUUUCCAGUCCUUCCAUUCUUAUUGUUGGUCCCAUACAGGUGCAUGGCUCAGCACUCAGAAUUAUCUGGUCCUAGGGCAAAGGAUUGAGUUUACUGUCUCAAAGAAUAAAAUACUUGCUCACCAAACCAUAGAGAGUGCUAACUUAUGAUCUGUAAUUUGUUACAAAAUGACUGGCAUUAGUCCAUAAAUAAGCUAAUUCAUUGCUAGUAGAGAACAAAUCACACACGUUCCUUUGCUCUACCCAUUCCCAACUGUCUAUCCUAAGUAGAUGCAGGCCAUGUAUUGGAUAUUAAACAUACGUGCAAAUGUCCACACAAAUUUAUCUUCUUUUCAGAGAAUACCCAGCUAGGUCCCCAUGUCACUUGUACUUACAAAAACAAUAGGACCAUACCCCACCCCACUGCAAUAACCUAAAGACUAAAAGCCACAAACAUAAUUGAAAACUCAGUCUCACAUGUAGAUAAUCCACCACACAAAAUAACGUUCUCAAGGUAAGUAGGGAGAUUGGAGAGGGAAGCUGGGCUUUUGGUGGAAGAGGACAGAAACAGGAUGUAGGUGGGACACAGGUAUUUCCUGUGCAAGAUAGUGGCACUGGUGUAAGGUUUGGUUCUGGCAGACGCCUUUAAAAUAGUUCUCAUCGUCAGAUAUACACGCAUGAGAUCCCCUCCCUCACAAACUUCUUGCUUUGUUAUCAUUUUGGUUAGGGCUUGACCGAAGUGACUUCAUUUUGAUUCUGAAAACUUUUACAUAUUCAGUUAUUUAAAGCCAAACGACAGCGCUGGACUGCAAGCACUAAACUCCCAAAAGGCAUUUUCUAAACCAUUUACUGUUUGCACGGUAUGGACUGUGAAAAUGUCCCCCCGGAGAAGAAACAGUGCGUUGGGUUCAUGGCAUGGAUUUCCUCCCCUUUCGCAUUGAUGUCGUCCUUCCGUCCACUCCGUUUAUCCUGGCCCAUGGACCGGAAGUGCCCUAGGGGCCACGGUUGUGUCCUCCCUGCACCCUGGGUCCUUGGCUGGGACCAGAGUCAUCCGGCUCACUUUCUAGAACGCACCUGACACAGCUUGCUUGAUGCCCUCACAGCACGGCGGCUGGCUUCCUCAGAAAGACUGGCCCAAGAAGAAAAGGGAGCGGACCCAAGCCUCUUAGGACGCAGCCUCGGAAGUCACACGGGCCGCUUCUGCCUCGAGCCAGCCAGCACACGUGGUCAACACGUCGGCCCGGCUCAGAGAGGGGAGUGACCUGACGCUCCACCUGUUAAAGGGAAAUUCAUCGCGGAAUUAGUGAGCAUUUAAAACAUCACCACACCUCACUCCUAUCCCGGGACUUGGAAUCAGGACCAGGACUAGGGUGGGACCAGCCUGGGGCCCAGGACACAACACUCCAGGAGGCCCUGGGUUUCGGGUCUCGCACAUCGAAAUAAAUUGUUUUGGAUACUGGUGUUUCCCCAAAAUUUACUCAAUUCUUUUAUUGGUGCUAGAAAUGCUUUUGUUACUGUUGUUUUUUGUUUGUUUGUUUGUUUUUUGGUACCAGGGAUCGAACUCUGGUCUUUGCGCCUGCGAGGCACGUGGCAGGCAGUGGAACCACUGAGCUAAAUCCCCGGCCCUACUGUUUUAUAUUUUAUAAAAUUCCAUCAAAUUACGUAGAUAAUCGUGCCACCUGGGAGUAAAAAUAGUUUUAACUGUCCCUUUUCAUGGCAAGUGCUAUUCUUUCUUCCUUCCUUGCCGACAACAGUGCAAUGGGAGACGGGACAGCUGGAUAUUCGGGUGUGAGAGGAUGGAUUUGCAACCUCACAAUGUGCACAGAAAUUAACUCAAAAUGGAUCAUAGACCUAAACAGGAGAG
This 6853-nucleotide long non-coding RNA is filed under the name Heterocephalus glaber (naked mole-rat). Its description in RNAcentral is "lncRNA (ENSHGLG00000039410.1)". The record is from RNAcentral. Lineage: Eukaryota; Metazoa; Chordata; Mammalia; Rodentia; Bathyergidae.